GCCUCAGUGGUCUAGUAGUAUGAUUCGCCCUUCGGGAGUUAUCCCGUAAGCAACUUGCUUACAAAUGCUUACGUCAGCUGCAUGGGUGAGGUCCUGGGUUCAAUUCCCAGCUGGGGCC
Ceratobasidium sp. AG-Ba is the source of this 118-nucleotide non-coding RNA. Lineage: Eukaryota; Fungi; Basidiomycota; Agaricomycetes; Cantharellales; Ceratobasidiaceae. The record is from the annotation of a GenBank genome assembly.